GGCCAUGGAGGCCGUGCAGGCCAUCUCCAUGUUCAACGGGCAGCUGCUCUUUGACAGACCCAUGCACGUGAAAAUGGACGAACGAGCCUUUCCCAAAGGAGAUUUCUUCCCUCCAGAGAGACCCCAGCAGCUCCCUCGUAAGUGUUCCCUGCCCCAUCCACCCCCUCUGCUCCCAGCCCCAGCAAUUCCCGGGAAAUCUGGGAUCCAGACCCUCCCCGCUCCAGCCAGGGGGGAAUCAUGGACAGGAGGAGUUUUGGAGGCUCCUUUCAGCUCCUGCCCAGAAGCUUCUCUUAGAACGGGAGCCCAGCACCUCCUCCAGGCUUCCAGGUCCAGAUUCCAAGAUCCCAAGGCCUCCCAAAAUUCCUGGUCAGGGUGGGAUUUCAUGGGAACAUCGUCCAGCAGGCACCGGAUGGGAUCUGGAUUCUCCCUGACAAGCUUCCAG
Lepidothrix coronata (blue-crowned manakin) is the source of this 442-nucleotide long non-coding RNA. RefSeq lists it as uncharacterized. Lineage: Eukaryota; Metazoa; Chordata; Aves; Passeriformes; Pipridae. The transcript has 3 exons. The record is from RefSeq and is a predicted model, not a curated record.